AUGUCACAUAUUUUGUCUUUAGAUAAUUUUAUGUAUUCCAAAAUCUAAAUGUCCAAAUGCUUUCUUGUAGAUAAUGAUAUUCAAUGUGGUUAUCCUUCACAUGAAACGCGCGCGCGCGCGCACACACAUGCAAUUUACAUGAAAAAAACAUAAUUGGAAUUUGAUUUGCAGUAUGUUCGAUCAAAUGCAUAUAGUUAUAAACCACUGGCAGAGGCUUCAGAUGAAGACCUCAUUGAAGUUGUCGCUACAAAUUUUCUUGGAUUGAUGAUCUGUUGCCGAGAGGCAAUAAAGAUGAUGUUGAACCAGCCUCGGGGGGGGC
This is a long non-coding RNA of Ziziphus jujuba (common jujube), 319 nucleotides long. RefSeq lists it as uncharacterized. The record is from RefSeq and is a predicted model, not a curated record. The transcript has 3 exons. Lineage: Eukaryota; Viridiplantae; Streptophyta; Magnoliopsida; Rosales; Rhamnaceae.